UAGCUUCCUAGAGAGAGAAGGACUGGGCUGCCUGGGAAGCUAAGAAGGGUACCUAGGGUGGAACAGUGCUGUGGGAGGGCAGAGGGAGCUGGGGAGCUCCACCCGAACAAACCCCCAGGCUGCAGGCCUAGUUAAGGACACACAAAAGGUACUAGCAGGGUACCUGAAGUGGAGCAGUGCUGGGGAAGGGCAGAGGAAACUAGGGAGCUCCAGCCUAGCAAAGCUCCAGGCCUAGUGAAAGGCUUAUGAAAGAGUACUGGGGUUGCAGAGGGGCAGCCUGGAGAUAGGCAGCUGGUCCAACGCCCCUUGCCGAUGAUGAGUGGUUCAUAGAUUGCAGUCUGCCCCAGGAAGCAGGGGUUAGAUGGUGACUGGCAGUGGGCACUGAGGCAAGGUGGGGGUAGAGGGUUGGGGGAAUCCACUGGGUGGAGACUCGGAUUGUGGGUUACUGUUGGGGCGGAACCCUGACGAGGAGGGCACUGGGGUCUGGGAGGGACAUGGGGGCCAGUGGCAGGCAAGACACUGGCCUGCAGAGGGCGCUCCUGGCCAGAAGAGUUAAUUCCCAGGAUGACCGACAGGAGGCGCCACACCGAUGUCGUGAAACAUCUCAAUAGCCUUUGGGCCUGCUGAUUUGUACAGUUCUGCUGGAAUACCAUCCUUUCUGGACACCUUGCCAGAGUUCAAUUGUUUGAUGGAUUUCAUGAACUCUUCAACUGAUGGAGCAGGCUGUAUCCCCUAAAGUAUUGUCUGACUCUCCCUUGGUGUUUUAGCAUAGAUACCAGCUCACCAAAUUCAUCCCUGAGACCACUCAAGUAACACCUAUACUAGAUAGCAGGAAAGUGCAUGGAAGAACAUCACAUUCUGAUCUCCACUGUUGAAGACCUACCACUCAAAGUGCUUCACAAGCAGGAAAUGACUACAUUUCAAAACGUUAUAUUCUUCAGAAACUACUUCCUUUAUUUCAAGACUAUUAUGGAAGAUUUGCACUUUUUCCCCUUCAGUAGUUUAGAGUCAUCUUAGCUGUUAGUGUUUAAAAAACAAACUGUAGAAAACAUUCAUGCAUGAAAAUCAUUACUGCUGCUUUUGUUAUAGGGAUGAUACAGGUUUCCCAUCCCCCAGUAAAUACUAUUAUUGAAAUGUUUCCAUAUCUUGUCUUUUUUUGUGUGUGCACAGGUGCAAAGCAUU
Chelonia mydas (Green sea turtle) is the source of this 1182-nucleotide long non-coding RNA. RefSeq lists it as uncharacterized. The transcript is spliced from 4 exons. Lineage: Eukaryota; Metazoa; Chordata; Testudines; Cheloniidae. The record is from RefSeq and is a predicted model, not a curated record.